Molecule: unclassified non-coding RNA, 243 nt
Filed under: Hevea brasiliensis (rubber tree)
Lineage: Eukaryota; Viridiplantae; Streptophyta; Magnoliopsida; Malpighiales; Euphorbiaceae
Source: RNAcentral
AAGAAGGCAAAUGGGUAGGAGAGAGGGAGAGGAACUAGGACGAGGAGAGUUAGGGAUUAGAAUAAGGCAAAUGUAGUCAUUUUAUAAUAGACUAAUGGCAAAAGGCUUUAAAAUUAGAUGGAAUGACAAAACAAUAAAUGGAACUAAAAGUUAGGGAUGUACUAGGGUAUAAACAAACCAAGUCAAGCUGAACUUUGAAGAACUUAGGCUUGGCUCAUAAAAAAAAUUUUGAUCUCAAGUUUA